GAUGAAGAACGCAGCGAAAAGCGAUAAGUAAUGUGAAUUACAGAAUUCAGUGAAUCAUCGAAUCUUUGAACGCACAUUGCGCCCGCCAGCAUUCUGGCGGGCAUGCCUGUUCGAGCGUCAUUUCAACCCUCGAGCCCCCCCGGGGGCCUCGGUGUUGGGGGACGGCACACCAGCCGCCCCCGAAAUGCAGUGGCGACCCCGCCGCAGCCUCCCCUGCGUAGUAGCACACACCUCGCACCGGAGCGCGGAGGCGGUCACGCCGUAAAACGCCCAACUUUCUUAGAGUUGACCUCGGAUCAGGUAGGAAUACCCGCUGAACUUAAGCAUAUCAAUAAGCGGAGGA
RNAcentral lists this unclassified non-coding RNA (343 nucleotides) under soil metagenome. RNAcentral's name for it is "partial contains 5.8S ribosomal RNA, internal transcribed spacer 2, and large subunit ribosomal RNA". The stretch from base 1 to 120 matches the Rfam family "5.8S ribosomal RNA", at positions 35 to 154 of the family's 154-position model. The record is from RNAcentral.